GUUAAAAGCUCGUAGUUGGAUUUCUGCGCCGCGCAGCUCGGUCCGCCGCACUGCGGUGUGACUGCGGCUGGAGCGUCGCAUCCUUGUGGGGACCGCCGGUGGCAUUAAGUUGUCGCUGGUUGGGAACCGCGUCGUUUACUGUGAAAAAAUUAGAGUGUUCAAAGCAGGCUUAUGCCGUGAAUACAUUAGCAUGGAAUAAUAAGAUAGGACUUUGGUUCUAUUUUGUUGGUUGGAGGCCAAGGUAAUGAUUAAUAGGGAUAGUUGGGGGUAUUCAUAUUUAAUUGUCAGAGGUGAAAUUCUUGGAUUUAUGAAAGAUGAACUUAUGCGAAAGCAUUUACCAAGGAUGUUUUCAUUAAUCAAGAACGAAAGUUAGGGGAUCGAAGAGGAUUAGAUACCCUCGUAGUCUUAACCAUAAACUAUGCCGACUCGGGAUUGGGGGGCGUACAUUCAAAGACCCCCUCAGCACCGUAUGAGAAAUCAAAGUCUUUGGGUUCCGGGGGGAGUAUGGUCGCAAGGCUGAAACUUAAAGGAAUUGACGGAAGGGCACCACCAGGAGUGGAGCCUGCGGCUUAAUUUGACUCAACACGGGGAAACUCACCAGGUCCGGACAUAGUAAGGAUUGACAGAUUGACAGCUCUUUCUUGAUUCUAUGGGUGGUGGUGCAUGGGCGUUCUUAGUUGGUGGAGUGAUUUGUCUGGUUGAUUCCGUUAACGAACGAGAUCUCCGCCUACUAAAUAGUCACG
Molecule: ribosomal RNA, 743 nt
Filed under: uncultured eukaryote
Lineage: Eukaryota
Description: SSU rRNA
Rfam family: Eukaryotic small subunit ribosomal RNA
Source: RNAcentral